GGGGGAAUACAGAGAAGCUCCCCACUUACGUUUCUGCUUGGUGGAGCAUGACCGUGUUGGGCUAUCAGAAAUAGUGUUUUUACUUAAGAUACAUUCCUGCAGAAAUCAGAACGGUCAGCAACCAUGAAAACAACAUUAUACAAGCCAAACUUUUGGUAUUUUAGUUAUUUCUAGGUAGUUUCUUCGGUGUCUGUUUAAAACUAAGUAUCCCCCCAUCAAUUCCUGUUCACUUUAUACAAAGACCCUACAAGCCUGUAAAAAGUGAGAUUAUUUCCUCACACACCCUACCAGAGCCACGGGUCUCACCGGGUUUUUUUGCCCCACAUUUCAGCCACAAGCAAAGCUUAAGACAGCCAACAGCUUGAUUUUACGUCCACCUUCAACCAGACGCACAGAUCGGCCCCAGCAGUGAGCAGGACAGAGAACAGCGAGGCUCUAACCCGAACAGCCUGGAAAGCAGCACAGCACCAGGCUCUGCGCUUCCUCCUGUCAUGUCCCUGCAAGGUCGCUCCCGUCUCGCAGAGGCUGCAAGGGGCGCACGGUCACAGCCAGCGCUGUGCCUGUCUGGAUGCUCCGGCUUUCUGCAGCCUUAAAGGACCUAUUGAACUUGAGCUCAAGGGUAGCUCUUUCUAUACUUAAGGAAGAGAGAAGUGUCUGUUUUCUCACCCAGUUUGGAGUGCAAAGAGGUAAGACUGAAAGCUGGACUGAAGCUGCUGGGAGCAGAUGGUGUAUAUCCCUCUUUGUUACUUUUUAGUUCUUGAGGGGAAUAGGGGCAGGGCACCCAGGAUUCACAAUCAAGAAGCCAGAGGCUAAUUUUUGUGG
RNAcentral lists this long non-coding RNA (822 nucleotides) under Manacus vitellinus (golden-collared manakin). Its description in RNAcentral is "lncRNA (ENSMVIG00005000468.1)". The record is from RNAcentral. Lineage: Eukaryota; Metazoa; Chordata; Aves; Passeriformes; Pipridae.